UGAGUACGAGACGCUAAGGCGUCGAAGUAGUGGAUGUCAUACUUCCAAGAAAAGCUUGCACUGUCAUAAAUAAAAACGCCUGUACCAUAACCGACACAGGUGGGUAGGUAGAGUAUACUAAGGGGCGCGAGAUAACUCUCUCUAAGGAACUCGGCAAAAUAACUCCGUAACUUCGGGAGAAGGAGUGCCUUAUUCGUAAGGCUGCAAUAACAAGAUCCAAGCAACUGUUUAUCAAAAACACAGGUCUCCGCUAAGUCGUAAGACGAUGUAUGGGGGCUGACGCCUGCCCAGUGCCAGAAGGUUAAAGAGGUCGGUUAGCAUUAGCGAAGCUGGUAACUGAAGCCCUGGUGAACGGCGGCCGUGACAAUAACGGUCCUAAGGUAGCGAAAUUCCUUGUCGGGUAAGUUCCGACCCGCACGAAAGGCGUAAUGAUUUGGAUACUGUCUCGGAGAGGGGCUCGGUGAAAUAGACUUGUCUGUGAAGAUGCGGACUACCUGCACCAGGACAGAAAGACCCUAUGAAGCUUUACUGUAACUUGAAAUUGAAAUUGGACUUUAUUCGCGCAGUAUAGGUGGGAGGUGUUGAUUAUAAUCUUGCGGGAUUAUUGGAGCCAUCAGUGAGAUACCACUCUUGUAAUGUUAGAUUUCUAACUUUGAAUCAUUAUCUGGUCAAAGAACAGUUUCAGGCGGGCAGUUUGUCUGGGGCGGUCGCCUCCUAAAUGGUAACGGAGGCGUACAAAGGUUUCCUCUGAACGGGUAGAAAUCGUAUCUAGAGUGUAAAGGCAUAAGGAAGCUUGACUGUGAGACCUACAAGUCGAGCAGGGACGAAAGUCGGUCUUAGUGAUCUGACGGUACUGAGUGGAAAGGCCGUCACUCAACGGAUAAAGGUUACUCUAGGAUAACAGGCUGAUCUCCCCCAAGAGUUCACAUCGACGGGGAGGUUUGGCACCUCGAUGUCGGCUCAUCGCAUCCUGGGGCGGUAGUACGUCCCAAGGGUUGGGCUGUUCGCCCAUGAAAGCGGUACGCGAGCUGGGUUCAGAACGUCGUGAGACAGUUCGGUCCAUAUCCGGUGUAGGCGUUAGAAUAUUGAGAGGAGCCUUCUUUAGUACGAGAGGACCGAGAAGGACAUACCUCUGGUGUACCAGUUAUCGUGCCAACGGUAAACGCUGGGUAGCUAUGUAUGGAGUGGAUAACCGCUGAAAGCAUCUAAGUGGGAAGCCCACCUCAAGAUAAGUAUUCUCA
This 1241-nucleotide ribosomal RNA is filed under the name metagenome. RNAcentral describes it as "bacterial LSU rRNA". It matches the Rfam family "Bacterial large subunit ribosomal RNA", at positions 1564 to 2816 of the family's 2925-position model. The record is from RNAcentral.